This 323-nucleotide ribosomal RNA is filed under the name Staphylococcus chromogenes. Its description in RNAcentral is "bacterial SSU rRNA". It matches the Rfam family "Bacterial small subunit ribosomal RNA", at positions 461 to 783 of the family's 1533-position model. The record is from RNAcentral. Lineage: Bacteria; Bacillati; Bacillota; Bacilli; Caryophanales; Staphylococcaceae.
UGCACAUCUUGACGGUACCUAACCAGAAAGCCACGGCUAACUACGUGCCAGCAGCCGCGGUAAUACGUAGGUGGCAAGCGUUAUCCGGCAUUAUUGGGCGUAAAGCGCGCGUAGGCGGUUUUUUAAGUCUGAUGUGAAAGCCCACGGCUCAACCGUGGAGGGUCAUUGGAAACUGGAAAACUUGAGUGCAGAAGAGGAAAGUGGAAUUCCAUGUGUAGCGGUGAAAUGCGCAGAGAUAUGGAGGAACACCAGUGGCGAAGGCGGCUUUCUGGUCUGUAACUGACGCUGAUGUGCGAAAGCGUGGGGAUCAAACAGGAUUAGAU